AUGGAUGCAGGUGCUGAGCACACCUGGAAGGCCCAGCUGAUCAAUACAUGGCUGAGAGGCUGGUGCCAUUGCAAGAAUUUGUUGGGUUUUUUUGAUCAUGGUGAUCAAGCAUUGAUGACCUUGACCAUCAGGAAAACACAAAACUGCAUUCUACAAGACAAGAUGAAAACUAUAUUGGUGAUGAAGACAUUGAGAAAAACAUCAGAUGAGAAAAGCUCUGCGUUACUACUCGGUAGACUCAUCUAUCUGAAUGGGAAACAAGCUGCUGGUAUUCCUGAGACAGAUGAGGAGCUACUAGCAACAGUAGAAGCUAUCCCUGCAACAUGAGUCUUUCUAUGAACAAAUUUCUACCAUGACUGAUACAGAAAAGUCACUGCAGGUAGAAGAUAGACAUGCCAACAAAACACCAUACAGUGACUACACAUAAAACGACUUUCACCUUGAUCCAAUAAGAACUGGAAUAAGCUGGAAGAUGGAAAGAAUCUGCUGGUUCCCAAGAAACGAAUGUUUAUUCAACCAUGAACAUUCAAGCAUAACAGCCAUUCUCAAAAUUACACACAUUUUUGAACAUCCAAGCACAGGUGUAACUUUGUUGGGCUUUUACUUCCUCCUAAUCAACAUCAGACCUACCACAACUGUAUCAACCACAGGUCAUGGCAGCCCCAUAGAUACAACAUAAUAAUGCCUUUGACACAGAGUAGUCUCAACAGAAAAAAAUGAAGUCAUGCUUUACAAAGGUGACUAAGCAGAAUCUGGGAGUCAAAACAAGUAGUAGACAAGACAGGAAAAGGUGGUUCUGUACCACUUUGUUCAUAAUACUUGUGCAGACUCUCCGAAAUUGCUUCAGGAAAAGGUUAUAGACUUAGUGAUUACAGAGAGAUUAAUGGUGCCAUGGUACCCACGUCACAAGCCCUUGGGAAUAAAGCAAGUUCUCUGCAUACCCACCUGAUAAAUGCGGUUACACUAGGUACUAAGUUAAUUAGUAGCAGCCUGGGCAGGAGGUAAAAUAGAUAGUGAGAAGAAACAGGGGAAAGGUGAACUGAUACUUAGAGACUGAAUGAAGAACAAAGAUCAACAAAGAGGUACUGGAAGAAAGACUGAAAAACAAGACCUGUGGUCUUAGGAAAUCUGCUAUCAAAUGAAGACUGAUCCCCACAGCAUGCCCGAACAAUAGAGAAUGCAAAUAGAGAACGCUUUUUUAUAAAAAGCAUGUCUACUUCACAUGAAAGGGAGAGAGUUUAGGAUGAUAGUAUAAAUGUCCUUGUUUACUCUCCCUGACUUGCACCCCUUGUUUUGUAACCACUGCAUAGUAAUACCUAUUCAGGCCUUUCCCAAACAACUCUGGGUUCUCUAAAUCUUGGUAUCACCACAAACUUCCUGAUGCAGUCAUGUGAUUGAAUUUUCAUUGUUAUGGAUAGUGACACACUGUAAGCAAUGUCAGUCUGCACCCAACUAAGGAGAUAAUCAGAAUGGCAGACACAGAAAUCUCACAAAUCAUUCAAAAAUGCAAAAUGUUCAUACAGCAUUAUAUCUUUAGAUUCACACAGCAGUCUGUAUCAUAUUGAGAGAAAUGCUGAAUUAAUGCACUCACAGAUGUGUUACAAAGUAUUUUUCUUGUAAAUGCACAAAAAUCAUUCCUAAAGAUUCAUCUCAGAAAUCCUUAAAAUUCCUUGAAUUAAAUAUACAGUAGUUACUGUGGUUUUACCCCGCUAGGCAGCUAAGUUCCACCACAACCAUUCUCCCACUCCCCAUCCUCAAAAGAAAAGGAGGAGAAGAAAUGAUGACGGGAAAAAAAGGUUCAUGGGUUGAGAUAAUGAUAAUUUAAUUAAAGGGAAAAGAAAGAGUGGAAAGGAAAAAAAGGGGGGGGGGGGGGGGGGNNNNNNNNNNGGGGGGGGGGGGAAGGAGCAAAGGCUGAGCAGAAGCAAAGAGAAUAAAAUUAUUCUCUACUUCCCAUCAACAUGUGAUGUUCAGACAUGUCCUUUGAACAAGGGCCUCAACACACAAACACAAAAACCUUUUUUUUGAGAAGGACAGAUGUCUUCAUAAUGAGGGCCCACCCCUUCUUUUUCUCUUUCCCCUAGCCCAGCCUUUUAUUGCUGUGUGACAUCAUAUGGUAUGCAAUAUCUUUGGUCAGUUUAGGUCAGCUGCCCUGGUGAUGUCCCCUCCCCACCCCUUGCCCACCACCAGCCUCCUGGCUUUGCAAGGUUUGGAGAGGGUCUUGAUGCUGUGCCAGCACUGCUCAGCAAUGGAAAAAAACACUGGUGUGAUACCAGUGCUUUUCUAGUUACAAGUGCAGAGCACAACACUAUAUAUGGGCCACUGCAAGGAAAGUUAACUCCAUCCCAGCCAGACCCAGAACAAACUGAAAUAAACUGAAGUAAUAAAAGUAACAACUAAUGCAACAGAGAUACCCACCAUUUCUAGCCUUUUUUUUUUUUUUUUUUUUUUCCUGGUAUUUCAUAACUAUGUCUAUAAACGCUUUUAAAAACGGUACACCACUCAAAACCACUACAAAAAAAUCUCAACAAAACCUAUUUCUUUUUGGCUUUCCACAAAUCAA
RNAcentral lists this long non-coding RNA (2560 nucleotides) under Anas zonorhyncha (Eastern spot-billed duck). RNAcentral describes it as "lncRNA (ENSAZOG00000014201.1)". The record is from RNAcentral. Lineage: Eukaryota; Metazoa; Chordata; Aves; Anseriformes; Anatidae.